GCCGCACUUGGCUGCAAAUGGAUAGCGAGGGGACUCUCUCUCUCUCCUUUCACCUCCCCGGUCUCUCGCAAAUGCUCGCAUAGAAUCGGAGUUACAGCUGGAUGUGGAAAAAAUAACUGAGUUGUUUGGUGGUGGAGCUACAACAGAGGGCAGCUACCCACCGGUGUGUGACAGAAAGGACAUGCCGCCAACGAGACAUAUGAGGCCGGGCAGGCGAUUGCUAACGCGGUGGUCAAUCAUGGAUCAGGGAAAGCGAAGGCAGGAGCGUGAGGUGAACUGAAUUUCAGGUAAGAAGUUAUGAACUGCACUCUAUUUGGGUCAGAUAUAAACAGAGUUUAGGUGUAGUUUAUUUAGCAGCAGUUCUCUUAUGUGUUGCUGAUAGCCGGCUAGCUAGCUAGCGCCGCUAGCAACCCUUCGUGAAAAAGCACCCAGUCUUGGCUUAUAUUGAAGCGGGUGAAACUCGUGUCAGCACCCGGUCGCUCUCUAUUUGGGUCAGAUAUAAACCGAGUUUAGGUGUAGUUUAUUUAGCAGCAGUUCUCUUAUGUGUUGCUGAUAGCCGGCUAGCUAGCUAGCGCCGCUAGCAUAGUUAGCUCGCGCCGCUAGCAACCCUUCGUGAAAAAGCACCCAGGCUUGGCUUAUAUUGAGGCGGGUGAAACUCGUGUCAGCACCCGGUCGCUCUCUAUUUGGGUCAGAUAUAAACCGAGUUUAGGUGUAGUUUAUUUAGCAGCAGUUCUCUUAUGUGUUGCUGAUAGCCGGCUAGCUAGCUAGCGCCGCUAGCAUAGUUAGCUAGCACCGCUAGCGACCCUUCGUGAAAAAGCACCCAGGCUUGGCUUAUAUUGAGGCGGGUGAAACUCGUGUCAGCACCCGGUCGCUCGCCGACAGUAUGUGUUUUAGCUGGACUUAUUUUUCGUUUAUAUGGACCGAUGAUUUAUUUAUUUAUUCAUUUUAGUAACGGUAUAAACAGUGAAAGGUGG
Molecule: long non-coding RNA, 974 nt
Organism: Oreochromis aureus
Lineage: Eukaryota; Metazoa; Chordata; Actinopteri; Cichliformes; Cichlidae
Source: Ensembl